Molecule: long non-coding RNA, 434 nt
Filed under: Capsicum annuum
Lineage: Eukaryota; Viridiplantae; Streptophyta; Magnoliopsida; Solanales; Solanaceae
Description: long non-coding RNA (CANN_LNC018812)
Source: RNAcentral
CCAUUUCCAUUUAUAUAUUAAAAAAAAGAAAAAAAAAACUUUGGAAUAACCAAAGAGCAAUGAAAAGAAAAGAGGACGAUUACCAUAUCCUCUGUUUUCAUUUUGUUAUUUGUCUUUUCAUAGAUCUCUGGUUUGUACCUAAAUGUUGCAUUUUCUUUUCAUCUUUUUUUUUAAUAGCUUUUGUUAUAAGUUUCUGAUCUAUCUGAAUUGUGGAUUUUUAGAAAGAUCUGAUUGAAUCCAAAACUUCACUUUGUUGUUUAAUUAGUAUUUUGCAAGUUGGGGUCUACCUGAUUUUCUUAAAGGUUUAUUGAUUAGUGAUUACUAUUUUUAUUCACAUCUGGAUCUGUAUGCUUAGUUUUCAUGAUGGCUCUUCAUUUCAAUUUGUUUGGACUAUCAUGAUUCAAAGAUUAAAGAAUAUUUUUGUCUUUGAAUAA